GACGAACGCUGGCGGCGUGCUUAACACAUGCAAGUCGAACGGAAAGGCCGCUUUCGGGUGGUUCUCGAGGGGCGAACGGGUGAGUAACACGUGAAUAACCUGCCCGUAGCGUUGGGAUAACUUCAGGAAACUGGGGCUAAUACCUAGUAGGAGCUCCUGCUGCAGGGAUGGGGCCGGGAAGGUUCGGGCGUCGGGGUUGGACUCGCGUGUUAUCAUCUUGUUGGUGGGGUAGUGUCUUACCAAGGCUUUGGCGGGUAGCCGGCCAGAGCGGGUGAACGGCCAGAUUGGGACUGAGAGACAGCCGAGACAGCUACGGGAGGCAGGAGUGGGGAAGAUUGCACAAUGGGUGGGAGAAUGAUGCAGGGAGGACGUGUGCGGGAUGACGGAAUGCGGGUUGUACGUCGAUUUCGCUCAUGAGGAAGCUUUGUGUGACGGUAGUGGGUAAAGAAGCACCGGCUAACUACGUG
RNAcentral lists this ribosomal RNA (467 nucleotides) under uncultured bacterium. RNAcentral's name for it is "partial 16S ribosomal RNA". It matches the Rfam family "Bacterial small subunit ribosomal RNA", at positions 28 to 507 of the family's 1533-position model. The record is from RNAcentral.